This 254-nucleotide ribosomal RNA is filed under the name uncultured bacterium. Its description in RNAcentral is "partial 16S ribosomal RNA". It matches the Rfam family "Bacterial small subunit ribosomal RNA", at positions 524 to 776 of the family's 1533-position model. The record is from RNAcentral.
UACGUAGGGGCCUAGCGUUGUCCGGAUUUAUUGGGCGUAAAGAGCUCGUAGGCGGUUCGGUAAGUCAGGUGUGAAAUCUCCACGCUCAACGUGGAGGCGCCACCUGAAACUGCCGUGACUCGAGUCCGGUAGGGGAGUGUGGAAUUCCUGGUGUAGCGGUGAAAUGCGCAGAUAUCGGGAGGAACACCUGUGGCGAAAGCGGCUCACUGGACCACAACUGACGCUGAGGCGCGAAAGCUAGGGGAGCAAACAGG